CCUUCUUGCUUUUGUUUAGUUUUUCACUCUGUUUAUGCUCUUUCUUCUAUUCCAGAGCUGAAAGGCUUAGCACAAUGUGGGAAUGACAAGAUUGUUCUCCAGGGCCAGGCAGGAAUACCUGGAAUUCCAGGUGUGCCAGGAACAAAUGGUCUUCCUGGAGCCAGGGGUGAGCCAGGACCUCAAGGCCCCCCAGGUGAAAAGGGCUCUGCUGGGAUACCUGGAAAAGCUGGACCAAAGGGAGACAAAGGAGACAAAGGAAACAAUGGGGAACCCUGCCGCUUAGAAGGCUGUCAGCGGGAAGGU
This 303-nucleotide long non-coding RNA is filed under the name Notechis scutatus (mainland tiger snake). RNAcentral describes it as "lncRNA (ENSNSUG00000004471.1)". The record is from RNAcentral. Lineage: Eukaryota; Metazoa; Chordata; Lepidosauria; Squamata; Elapidae.